AAAGGUGCAUGAGUGGUGUUUGGUUUGUUACGGGUGGUUGGCUCUUUGCUUGCGCAACAACUUCUACCCGGCAUACCUCUUCAGUCUUGUGUCAAUGCUUGUAUUGCAUUGAAUGCACGGUGGGUUUCUUGUGUUGCAUGCCUAAUUAAUGGUAUCGUUUGGUGAAUUGGUUUUCCUUUCGUCUUGCAUUGCCUAUGUGAUGUGAGAUGAACCUUGAAGCAGCCUUUGUGAUCCACUCUUUUGAUGCAUAAGCAUUGAUUUUGUGGCCCAUUGAGUGUUGCUUGGUUUCAUGGAUAUGGAACCUGGUGUGGGCAUGGAAUCUUAAUGGUUCCUUGUUUGCCCAAGUUUAGCUUUUCUAAAACGAUUGUCUAUCAUGUGUUAACGUGGUAGACUACUUCGAAUAUGAAUGCUACCUGG
Molecule: unclassified non-coding RNA, 417 nt
Filed under: Helichrysum petiolare
Lineage: Eukaryota; Viridiplantae; Streptophyta; Magnoliopsida; Asterales; Asteraceae
Description: partial external transcribed spacer
Source: RNAcentral